CGAGCGGAUAGCGCGCGGCGAGCUCGGGCGCCGCCUCGGCCGAUUCGAACGGCGGCAGGUAGUCGGGCACGGGUUCCAUGCCCAUCUGCUCGA
Molecule: transfer RNA, 93 nt
Filed under: Burkholderia puraquae
Lineage: Bacteria; Pseudomonadati; Pseudomonadota; Betaproteobacteria; Burkholderiales; Burkholderiaceae
Description: tRNA-Arg
Source: RNAcentral